RNAcentral lists this ribosomal RNA (241 nucleotides) under uncultured bacterium. RNAcentral's name for it is "partial 16S ribosomal RNA". It matches the Rfam family "Bacterial small subunit ribosomal RNA", at positions 15 to 236 of the family's 1533-position model. The record is from RNAcentral.
GAUCCUGGCUCAGGAUGAACGCUGGCGGCGUGCUUAACACAUGCAAGUCGAACGAAGCACUUAAAACAGAUUCUUCGGAUGAAGUUUUUUUGUGACUGAGUGGCGGACGGGUGAGUAACGCGUGGGUAACCUGCCUCAUACAGGGGGGAUAACAGUUAGAAAUGACUGCUAAUACCGCAUAAGCGCACAGGGUCGCAUGACCUAGUGUGAAAAACUCCGGUGGUAUGAGAUGGACCCGCGU